UUUGCCUGGCCUUUGUGAUGAGGCUCUUAAACUGUGGGUCCCAAUCUAAAAAGCCCUUAGCUUAAUGAUGGGGUCCUGAAAAAAUUGGCACCAGUAAAAGUUUUCUGAAUGCCACGGAGUGGCUGUUUUAGACAUUUACACCAAUUUGUUGUGCAGGCUUUAGAGACUGGGAGUUGUGUUCUCAUGCAUUUGGAGAAGGCCAUUGGAAAACAACAAGAAUAAAAGGUGAACUAAAGUAUGACAUAAACUAAUCCCCACACAAACAUUUUACAAGAGCAGUUGUCCCCAAUCUCUCAGCUGCAUGUUCUCCUCUUCUCUGCUCUUUCACCUUCCUGUAACACUAAACUCCCCCCAAAUUGAGAGCUUUCUCUCUCUCUUGCUUUCUUUAAUAGGGGCUGUACUCUAUGCCCAGCUGUUGACUUGCCUGAAGGUCACCUGUCAACUUAUGUCAGCUCCAGAAAUUUCAUAGGGUUCUCUAAUCACUUGGUAUAGUAUCGGAAGAAGUGAUGGAUUUCCACAGAAGUUCAUGCUAAAAUUUAAAAAGGUUGAUCUUAAAGACGCUACUGCAUUUCUUUCCCUUUCCUUUUGAGAUCGAACAGAACAGGCUUCCUGCAUUCAACCUAAUCUGACCUGCAGCAGGGAGUUCCGCAGAUCCGGAAAGAAGCCCUGCUGAACCAAUCAAUAAAUGAAAUGUGUGUUCCAACAGCAGCUUAUAACAUGUUUCCUUUUGCCUCCUUCCCGAUCCCAACAAUGUAACUAAUCCCAAAUAAAAGUAUCAUUUCAUUCUAACCAUCCCUGGGGUUUUUUUUAAAUCCCCUAGUUUGAUGAAAAAAUUAUAGGGAACAAAAAAGCAUGCACAGUUUUGGGCAAUUGUAGUUGGUUCAGAUUGUUGUUUUGGUUCAAAAUACACAGGUAUUGCUGUGGAUUUUGGAUAUUGCUUUGUUAUUCUGUCCUUGAGCUAUUUUUAACAGGUUGGGCUGGAUAAAAAGGUCCACAGACCACUUGGCAGUCCUUUAUCAGUCCUGGAAAGCAAAUCUAGGAUUCAUAAUUAACAACCUGACAUGCAUGGACAAAUCCAUCAUUGCAAUAUCCUCCAGAAAUGCAAACUACCUCGAAGAUCUGUAUAUUCAGUACAAUAUUGUUUACUUGUAGCAUGCACAAGAAAAGCCAGCCUAGGGGUAUGAACUCCUCAUAAAGCUCAUAGGCCAUCAAUUCUGUAUAUCAAAAUAUACAGAAUGGAGUUAUGUUCUGUUGAUCCCUACAACCUGUUUGCUAGUGCUGCUCAGGAGGCAUUGGGGAGGGGGGAAAUUCCAGUGAGGUAGAGUGUAUUUCUGGUAAAUGUCUUGUUCUGGAACCAUAGAUAGUUGAUAUAGAUAGUUCCAGGCCUCUCUCCUCAGUUCAUUCAGUGCAAGACACUGACAUAUGUUACUGCUACAGCAUAAGCUUUUUUGGUGGCAAAUGAUGAGAUGCAUUCCCAAAUGGAAACUGUAAUGUCAUUUUAAAAUAAAUUAAUAAACAAACUGAAGGACUGCAAAAGGGGGUAGAAGAUCUUCUUUAUCCCUCUUGACCUACCCAGAUAAUAAUGAACAAAUACAUUUGUAUGUGUGAAAGAAGUCCUUCAAGUAAUGACUGAAUUUCAAAAAAUGGGAGAAGGGGGUUUGCUUUCCUUGCCCCCUCUGUGCUGCCACUC
Molecule: long non-coding RNA, 1690 nt
Organism: Anolis carolinensis (green anole)
Lineage: Eukaryota; Metazoa; Chordata; Lepidosauria; Squamata; Anolidae
Source: Ensembl